UGGGGAAUAUUGCACAAUGGAGGAAACUCUGAUGCAGCGACGCCGCGUGAGGGAAGAAGGUUUUCGGAUUGUAAACCUCUGUCUUCGGUGACGAAAAUGACGGUAGCCGAGGAGGAAGCCACGGCUAACUACGUGCCAGCAGCCGCGGUAAUACGUAGGUGGCAAGCGUUGUCCGGAAUUACUGGGUGUAAAGGGAGCGUAGGCGGGAAGGCAAGUUGAUUGUCUAAACUAUGGGCUCAACCCAUAGUCGCGAUCAAAACUACUUUUCUUGAGUGAAGUAGAGGUAAGCGGAAUUCCUAGUGUAGCGGUGAAAUGCGUAAAUAUUAGGAGGAACACCAGUGGCGAAGGCGGCUUACUGGGCUUUAACUGACGCUGAGGCUCGAAAGCGUGGGUAGCAAACAGG
Molecule: ribosomal RNA, 403 nt
Filed under: uncultured bacterium
Lineage: Bacteria
Description: bacterial SSU rRNA
Rfam family: Bacterial small subunit ribosomal RNA
Source: RNAcentral